RNAcentral lists this ribosomal RNA (30 nucleotides) under Thanatephorus cucumeris. Its description in RNAcentral is "partial 28S ribosomal RNA". Lineage: Eukaryota; Fungi; Basidiomycota; Agaricomycetes; Cantharellales; Ceratobasidiaceae. The record is from RNAcentral.
CUGAACUUAAGCAUAUCAAAAGCCGGAGGA